GUACACGCUGUGACUAGCAUAUCAAUAAGCGGAGGAAAAGAAACUAACAAGGAUUCCCCUAGUAACGGCGAGUGAAGCGGGAAGAGCUCAAAUUUGAAAUCUUAAAGGGUUUCCCUUUACGAAUUGUAGUUUAAAGAAGUGUUUUCUGUUGAGGUUUUGGUAAAAGUUCUUUGGAAUAGGACAUCAUAGAGGGUGAGAAUCCCGUAUUUGACCUUUACUUUCAACUUUGUGAUACACUUUCAAAGAGUCGGAUUGUUUGGGAAUGCAGUCCAAAAUGGGUGGUAAAUUUCAUCUAAAGCUAAAUAUUGGCGAAGAGACCGAUAGCGAACAAGUACCCGUGAGGGAAAGAUGAAAAGAACUUUGAAAAGGAGAGUUAAACAGUACGUGAAAUUGUCAAAAGGGAAGCGUUUGACACCAGUGUUGUUUUUCUGAAAAUCAAUUAAAGAACUGUUUAUGCUAAGCUGUUUAGACUUUAUCAGCUAAUCUGUUUAGUUUUGAGCUUUUCUUUAAUGCACUUUUCAGUUAACAAGUCAACAUCAAUUUCUUUUGCUGUAAAAAAGCUUGAGGAAGGUGGCUUGAGAUUCGUCUUAAGUGUUUAUAGCCUCUUGCCUAUGCAGUCGGAGAGAUUGAGGUCUGCAGCGUAGAUCCUUCGGGGCUAAAUGCAUUUGUGCUAAGUUAUAGCAUUUCAUAGACAACUUGUUGACUAUGAUUUGUCUUGUAGCUUACUCGCUUAUGUUAUUUUACCUACGCUUAGGAUGUUGAAGUCAUCGUAUCGCGC
Molecule: ribosomal RNA, 778 nt
Filed under: uncultured Neocallimastigales
Lineage: Eukaryota; Fungi; Neocallimastigomycota; Neocallimastigomycetes; Neocallimastigales
Description: partial large subunit ribosomal RNA
Rfam family: Eukaryotic large subunit ribosomal RNA
Source: RNAcentral